CAGUCAGCGGAGGUUUUCUGUUUCCAACCAGCCAGACUAACCAUUUGUGCUCAUCGUUCUCCAAUGAAUUCUCCAGAUCUACUCUCUGCCCACUGUCGGAGGCAGUUCUGUUCCUCAGAACAAACAAAAAACUUUACCUUAUUGAAUUUCCCCAAAAAAUGACUUUUAAAGAAAGCCAUGGAUAGCACACAGAAUCUACAGAAAAAAAUGAAGAUGGAGGCUUCAACAAAGACAAGACCCAAGGCAGGAUCUAGGUGCCAAGCUCAAGAUUUCCAAAUUCCCAGGAGGGAGCAAUUGAUGGUCCUGACUUGAGUCACGUGAUCACCCUUUUGGCCAGAGAAGACAAGAACUAUGGGUGACAGUUUUAUGGAGACUGCACUCAGUUGGGCAGAUAAAGAAGCUGAAGCAGAAAGAGAUGAAGUAACUUGCUCAAGG
This 435-nucleotide long non-coding RNA is filed under the name Homo sapiens (human). RNAcentral describes it as "HSALNT0330839". The record is from RNAcentral. Lineage: Eukaryota; Metazoa; Chordata; Mammalia; Primates; Hominidae.